RNAcentral lists this ribosomal RNA (439 nucleotides) under uncultured bacterium. Its description in RNAcentral is "partial 16S ribosomal RNA". It matches the Rfam family "Bacterial small subunit ribosomal RNA", at positions 339 to 795 of the family's 1533-position model. The record is from RNAcentral.
CUACGGGUCGCUCCAGUGGGGGAUAUUGCACAAUGGGCGAAAGCCUGAUGCAGCAACGCCGCGUGAAGGAAGACGGUUUUCGGAUUGUAAACUUCUAUCAGCAGGGAAGAAAAUGACUGUACCUGACUAAGAAGCCCCGGCUAACUACGUGCCAGCAGCCGCGGUAAUACGUAGGGGGCAAGCGUUAUCCGGAAUUACUGGUUGUAAAGGGUACGUAGGCGGUUCGUUAAGUCAGAUGUGAAAGCCCGAAGCUCAACUUCGGGACUGCAUUUGAAACUGAUGAACUAGAGUACAGGAGAGGUAAGUGGAAUUCCUAGUGUAGCGGUGAAAUGCGUAGAUAUUAGGAAGAACACCAGUGGCGAAGGCGACUUACUGGACUGUAACUGACGCUGAGGUACGAAAGCGUGGGGAGCGAACAGGAUUAGAUACCCCUGUAGUC